RNAcentral lists this non-coding RNA (840 nucleotides) under Trichomonas vaginalis G3. RNAcentral's name for it is "Eukaryotic large subunit ribosomal RNA". It matches the Rfam family "Eukaryotic large subunit ribosomal RNA", at positions 1252 to 2288 of the family's 3401-position model. The record is from Rfam by way of RNAcentral. Lineage: Eukaryota; Parabasalia; Trichomonadida; Trichomonadidae.
CCCUAAAAGCAGGUAUCCGCUAAAGAGUGUGUUAAAACUCACCUGCCGAAUACUAGGGCCCCGAAAAUGAAUGGCGCAUAUAGUACUACCGAUCUCAGACAUCAGUUCUAUUGAACUGAGAGUAGGGGGAUGUGGACAUUUUUGUGAAGGUGCAAUGUGAGUUGGACUGGAAGAAUGUCUAUUACAGAUCCUAAUUGAAGUAGCGAUUAUCCAGGCUUGUAUCCUGGGGGCUGAUGAGGAGUAGGGUUUCUGGACAACUUAAACAGAUCCAGAGUUAGUCGAUCCUAAUCUCAAUAAUGGGAGAAAGGGAGUACAGUUGAUAUUCUGUAACUGACAACAGUUCGCGGCAACGCAUACUAUUUUUCUCCGCCAAUCUUAUACCGUUGGUAGGGAUCUCUUUCCUACAUGACAGUACUAAUACCCAGGGAAACUGGUCAUCAGGCGAACUGCGGCGUUCUGCUGGCAAAACAUAGCUUCGGUUAUGUCAAUGGCUAUUGGAUUGGUCCAUGAAGCGAAAAAUAGUUUACUGUGUCACUCGUACCGAUAACCGCAUCAGGUCUUCUAGGUAAGUAGCCUAUGGCCAUUGAGGCAUGAUAGUUCAGGGAAUUCGGCCAAUUAGAGCUGUAACUUCGGGAUAAAGCUUGGCUCUGAUGAAAAUCAGAACCGAUUGUUACGCGGAGAGCCCAACUGUUUAAUAAAAACGUAGUGUCGCGCUGUGGUAGUAUAGCCAGUGAACGCGACAUGAAUCCUGCUCAGUGCUGUGUCUGUUAAUAUGGUUCAAGCCAACGAAGCACCGGUAAAUAGCUGGGGUAACUAUGACUCUUAUCAAAGUAGCGAAAA